Bemisia tabaci is the source of this 1242-nucleotide long non-coding RNA. RefSeq lists it as uncharacterized. NCBI's taxonomy places the organism in Eukaryota, Metazoa, Arthropoda, Insecta, Hemiptera, Aleyrodidae. The record is from RefSeq and is a predicted model, not a curated record.
GCAAAUUAACAACUGGCGCGAAUAUUUGAAUGUAGUGAAAGUGCGUGCCAAAUAAGUUUUCAAUCGAUCAAGUUUUAACGCAGCUUUUGAGUAAAAACUAGACGCUACAGGACUUAGACCUACUUCCUUAAAGAAAAAUCCUGUUCAUAUCCCUACGACCAGGGGAAGAAUCCUGACUACCGACGUAUCUUACAGAGACAUCUCAGUUCUUAAAACAUGAUUGAUGAAAGCUGAGCAUUGAGCGAAACUCUAAAGAAUGCACAGUGAUCAUGUUUCACUGCCUGUUGGUACCUAAGAGAGAGACGUGAGCAAAUUGCAGCUAAGACACACGUAGAGCAGAUAGAAACGAAAUUGUGAAAUAUCUGACUGGUAGGGAGCAAACUCUGAUUGAGACUGCAAAUGCAGUAUCUUAAAAAUAGAAGUGUGCCUAACGGAUGGAAGUGAUUAUAUUGUAAGCUUUGGUAACACUUACUUCAAUCAUCAGACACUAUCCAAAAACUUCAAACAGAUCGCUUUUGCUGUAGAAGAUAUUUCAACCAUAACUGCAAGCACACAUAAAAACUAAAGUUGAAAUAAAUGACAUUGAGAGCCAUCCUAUAAAAUGCUCUAAUAUCCUCUGAAGAUUUGAAGAGAACAAAACCUUGAAAAUGAAAAUCAGUCAGGUAAUGCUGCUUAGUUUGUUCUUUAUGCUGGGCGAGAAUAUUCAGCAAAUAAACAGCAUCUGCUGUGGUCAUCGCAUUCACCCAUGGGGCUCUAGAAUAGACAUCUGUAAUAAUGUGGCAUACCCCUUUCAAAGAGGAAAAUUCUGUUGCAGUGAUGGUAAUUGUAAUUUCUUUUGUUGCAAUUGUGAAAGCGAGUGUUUGGGGGUAGCUGCAACAAAGGACAAUGAGGAUAUUUUUUAUAUGGAGGAAGAAUUAGAGCAGUGAGAUUUUACUAUAUCUCUUAGUUUGAGAUUGAAAUGUAGAAUUUUAGAGGGUUGAGAGGAUGAACAGCGGAAUGAGAUCAGGUACCUAGCUUGCAUAAAUUGGCAGUGAAACUUCAGAAACACCUGGACGUCUUGUCUGCGAAAAACGUCCAUGUUGGACAAACAUGUUUGCUGAUUUCUUUCGGGAAAGAUAGAAUAAGCGGAAAAGUUUUGAAAAAUUGCAAUUGAUUAUGAGUGUACUUUAUGUUAAUUUACUUAAUGAAUAAUCCUCUUGGUCCGACUGAUAUUCCUGAUAAUAAAAGUCAAUUUACAAUUGA